UGAAUGGCUUUUUUCAAAGCCAUAGUACUUGACUCUGAACAUGGAUG
Molecule: non-coding RNA, 47 nt
Organism: Camelus ferus (Wild Bactrian camel)
Lineage: Eukaryota; Metazoa; Chordata; Mammalia; Artiodactyla; Camelidae
Source: Rfam